Molecule: ribosomal RNA, 460 nt
Filed under: uncultured bacterium
Lineage: Bacteria
Description: partial 16S ribosomal RNA
Rfam family: Bacterial small subunit ribosomal RNA
Source: RNAcentral
CCUACGGGUGGCAGCAGUGAGGAAUAUUGGUCAAUGGGCGCAAGCCUGAACCAGCCAAGUAGCGUGAAGGAUGACUGCCCUACGGGUUGUAAACUUCUUUUGUAAAGGAAUAAAGUGAGGCACGUGUGCCUUUUUGAAUGUACUUGAUGAAUAAGGAUCGGCUAACUCCGUGCCAGCAGCCGCGGUAAUACGGAGGAUGCGAGCGUUAUCCGGAUUUAUCGGGGUUAAAGGGAGCGUAGAUGGGUCGUUAAGUCAGUUGUGAAAGUUUGCGGCUCAACCGUAAACGUGCAAUUGCUACGGGCAGCCUUGAGUACAGUUGAGGUAGGCGGAAUUCGUGGUGUAGCGGUGAAAUGCUUAGAUAUCACGAAGAACUCCGAGUGCGAAGGCAGCUUACUAAACUGCCACUGACAUUGAUGCUCGAAAGUGUGGGUAUCAAACAGGAUUAGAUACCCCGGUAGUC